RNAcentral lists this ribosomal RNA (495 nucleotides) under uncultured Coxiella sp. RNAcentral describes it as "bacterial SSU rRNA". It matches the Rfam family "Bacterial small subunit ribosomal RNA", at positions 449 to 944 of the family's 1533-position model. Lineage: Bacteria; Pseudomonadati; Pseudomonadota; Gammaproteobacteria; Legionellales; Coxiellaceae. The record is from RNAcentral.
AAGGGUAAUAUCUUUGAGUAUUGACGUUACCCACAGAAGAAGCACUGGCUAACUCUGUGCCAGCAGCCGCGGUAAUACAGAGAGUGCAAGUGUUAAUCGGAAUCAUUGGGCGUAAAGCGCGCGUAGGUGGAUGUUUAAGUCGAAUGUGAAAUCCCUGGGCUUAACCUAGGAAUUGCAUCCGAUACUGUAUAUCUUGAGUAUGGUAGAGGGAAGUGGAAUUUCCGGUGUAGCGGUGAAAUGCGUAGAUAUCGGAAAGAACACCAGUGGCGAAGGCGGCUUCCUGGAUCAAUACUGACACUGAGGCGCGAAAGCGUGGGGAGCAAACAGGAUUAGAGACCCUGGUAGUCCACGCCGUCAACGAUGAGAACUAGCUGUUGGAAAGUUUACUUUCUAGUAGCGAAGCUAACGCGUUAAGUUCUCCGCCUGGGAAGUACGGCCGCAAGGUUAAAACUCAAAGAAAUUGACGGGGGCCCGCACAAGCGGUGGAGCAUGUGG